RNAcentral lists this ribosomal RNA (253 nucleotides) under uncultured bacterium. RNAcentral describes it as "partial 16S ribosomal RNA". It matches the Rfam family "Bacterial small subunit ribosomal RNA", at positions 524 to 776 of the family's 1533-position model. The record is from RNAcentral.
UACGUAGGGGGCUAGCGUUGUCCGGAAUCAUUGGGCGUAAAGAGCGUGUAGGCGGCCCGGUAAGUCCGCUGUGAAAGCCGGGGGCUCAACCCUCGAAUGCCGGUGGAUACUGUCGGGCUAGAGUGCGGAAGAGGCGAGUGGAAUUCCUGGUGUAGCGGUGAAAUGCGCAGAUAUCAGGAGGAACACCAAUUGCGAAGGCAGCUCGCUGGGACGUAACUGACGCUGAGACGCGAAAGCGUGGGGAGCAAACAGG